AAUAAUUACAACUUUCAACAACGGAUCUCUUGGUUCUGGCAUCGAUGAAGAACGCAGCGAAAUGCGAUAAGUAGUGUGAAUUGCAGAAUUCAGUGAAUCAUCGAAUCUUUGAACGCACAUUGCGCCCUUUGGUAUUCCAAAGGGCAUGCCUGUUCGAGCGUCAUU
RNAcentral lists this ribosomal RNA (165 nucleotides) under Akanthomyces lecanii. RNAcentral's name for it is "5.8S ribosomal RNA". It matches the Rfam family "5.8S ribosomal RNA". Rfam says of the family: 5.8S ribosomal RNA (5.8S rRNA) is a component of the large subunit of the eukaryotic ribosome. It is transcribed by RNA polymerase I as part of the 45S precursor that also contains 18S and 28S rRNA. Lineage: Eukaryota; Fungi; Ascomycota; Sordariomycetes; Hypocreales; Cordycipitaceae. The record is from RNAcentral.